GGUCCCGUAGCUCAGGUGGAUAGAGCGGCCGCCUCCUAAGCGGCAGGCCACAGGUUCGAAUCCUGUCGGGACCACCA
Molecule: transfer RNA, 77 nt
Filed under: Thermodesulfobacteriota bacterium
Lineage: Bacteria; Pseudomonadati; Thermodesulfobacteriota
Also listed under: 2 other names
Description: tRNA-Arg
Rfam family: tRNA
About the family: Transfer RNA (tRNA) molecules are approximately 80 nucleotides in length.
Source: RNAcentral